CAUUUCUGAUUUCUUAUAAAGAGACCAAUAUGAUUUUAUUAUCAAACCACACUAAAAUACACAUACACCCAAAAGUCUAAUCUAAGUUCAAGAGUUCAAGUUUGGAGUUUAGUGCUUUCAAAAUCCAUCUCUUUGCUUGAAUCAAGUUCGCAUAAGUUUUGAGGACGACCCGAUUUGUGGAUUUUCUUUUGCUUGCUAAACUAAGGUAAUCAGGGAUAAUAUGGGGAAUCAGUAAUGAGAAAUUAAUGGAUGUUCAAGAGUAUUUAAAGACUCUUUAUUUUGUUAAAUCAUGUACUUUUGAAUGAACUUAAGACUUAGGGUAUUUUGAGACGUGUAUGUCACCUUGAAUCCUAUCUUAU
This is a long non-coding RNA of Helianthus annuus (common sunflower), 359 nucleotides long. RefSeq lists it as uncharacterized. The record is from RefSeq and is a predicted model, not a curated record. Lineage: Eukaryota; Viridiplantae; Streptophyta; Magnoliopsida; Asterales; Asteraceae. The transcript is spliced from 3 exons.